RNAcentral lists this ribosomal RNA (222 nucleotides) under uncultured bacterium. RNAcentral's name for it is "partial 16S ribosomal RNA". It matches the Rfam family "Bacterial small subunit ribosomal RNA", at positions 109 to 334 of the family's 1533-position model. The record is from RNAcentral.
AGUGAUGUCUGGGAAACUGCCUGAUGGAGGGGGAUAACUGCUGGAAACGGUAGCUAAUACCGCAUAACGUCGCAAGACCAAAGAGGGGGACCUUCGGGCCUCUUGCCAUCGGAUGUGCCCAGAUGGGAUUAGCUAGUAGGUGGGGUAACGGCUCACCUAGGCGACGAUCCCUAGCUGGUCUGAGAGGAUGGCCAGCCACACUGGAACUGAGACACGGUCCAG